This 1257-nucleotide ribosomal RNA is filed under the name Halomonas sp. H6(2015). Its description in RNAcentral is "bacterial SSU rRNA". It matches the Rfam family "Bacterial small subunit ribosomal RNA", at positions 88 to 1343 of the family's 1533-position model. Lineage: Bacteria; Pseudomonadati; Pseudomonadota; Gammaproteobacteria; Oceanospirillales; Halomonadaceae. The record is from RNAcentral.
CUGACGAGCGGCGGACGGGUGAGUAAUGCAUAGGAAUCUGCCCGAUAGUGGGGGAUAACCUGGGGAAACCCAGGCUAAUACCGCAUACGUCCUACGGGAGAAAGGGGGCUCCGGCUCCCGCUAUUGGAUGAGCCUAUGUCGGAUUAGCUAGUUGGUAAGGUAAUGGCUUACCAAGGCAACGAUCCGUAGCUGGUCUGAGAGGAUGAUCAGCCACAUCGGGACUGAGACACGGCCCGAACUCCUACGGGAGGCAGCAGUGGGGAAUAUUGGACAAUGGGGGCAACCCUGAUCCAGCCAUGCCGCGUGUGUGAAGAAGGCCCUCGGGUUGUAAAGCACUUUCAGCGAGGAAGAACGCCUAUCGGUUAAUACCCGGUAGGAAAGACAUCACUCGCAGAAGAAGCACCGGCUAACUCCGUGCCAGCAGCCGCGGUAAUACGGAGGGUGCAAGCGUUAAUCGGAAUUACUGGGCGUAAAGCGCGCGUAGGUGGCUUGAUAAGCCGGUUGUGAAAGCCCCGGGCUCAACCUGGGAACGGCAUCCGGAACUGUCAGGCUAGAGUGCAGGAGAGGAAGGUAGAAUUCCCGGUGUAGCGGUGAAAUGCGUAGAGAUCGGGAGGAAUACCAGUGGCGAAGGCGGCCUUCUGGACUGACACUGACACUGAGGUGCGAAAGCGUGGGUAGCAAACAGGAUUAGAUACCCUGGUAGUCCACGCCGUAAACGAUGUCGACCAGCCGUUGGGUGCCUAGAGCACUUUGUGGCGAAGUUAACGCGAUAAGUCGACCGCCUGGGGAGUACGGCCGCAAGGUUAAAACUCAAAUGAAUUGACGGGGGCCCGCACAAGCGGUGGAGCAUGUGGUUUAAUUCGAUGCAACGCGAAGAACCUUACCUACCCUUGACAUCUACAGAAGCCGGAAGAGAUUCUGGUGUGCCUUCGGGAACUGUAAGACAGGUGCUGCAUGGCUGUCGUCAGCUCGUGUUGUGAAAUGUUGGGUUAAGUCCCGUAACGAGCGCAACCCUUGUCCUUAUUUGCCAGCGAGUAAUGUCGGGAACUCUAAGGAGACUGCCGGUGACAAACCGGAGGAAGGUGGGGACGACGUCAAGUCAUCAUGGCCCUUACGGGUAGGGCUACACACGUGCUACAAUGGCCGGUACAAAGGGCUGCGAGCUCGCGAGAGUCAGCGAAUCCCUUAAAGCCGGUCUCAGUCCGGAUCGGGAGUCUGCAACUCGGAACUCCGUGGAAGUCGGAAUCGCUAGGAAUC